GGCCUGACUGAGUGGUCUGGCCUCGUGUCAGUACUGCUCUGGUCGGGUCUUUCCUUCUAGGGAACCAACUGCUCUUAAUUGAGUGUGUUGGGGAUCUAGGACUUUUACUUUGAAAAAAUUAGAGUGUUCAAAGCAGGCAUAAGCUUGAAUACAUUAGCAUGGAAUAAUAAAAUAGGACUUUGGUUCUAUUUUGUUGGCUUCUAGGACCGAAGUA
This 214-nucleotide ribosomal RNA is filed under the name uncultured fungus. RNAcentral's name for it is "partial small subunit ribosomal RNA". The stretch from base 88 to 214 matches the Rfam family "Eukaryotic small subunit ribosomal RNA", at positions 735 to 864 of the family's 1831-position model. The record is from RNAcentral. Lineage: Eukaryota; Fungi.